This 254-nucleotide unclassified non-coding RNA is filed under the name Hevea brasiliensis (rubber tree). The record is from RNAcentral. Lineage: Eukaryota; Viridiplantae; Streptophyta; Magnoliopsida; Malpighiales; Euphorbiaceae.
GCGUGUCUGAGUUCUCAUAAAUUAUUAGCAAAGGAAAUACCGAAAUAUUGGACUGCUAGAACAACCGUCGUGUUUCUCCUUUUCUUCGUAUUCGUCCUUCAAUCCUAUCAGAGGAAUCUAAUGGCAUCGCGAGACAAGAAACCAGUAAAACCAUCCAGCAGUCGUGCCGGCGGUAUCCGCGCUCUCUCCGAUCUUAACAGGCACGCCGGCCCCGAUUCCGACAGCGACGAUGAUGCUCCUCAAGAGUACUACAC